UAUGAAUACUAUAGGAGGAACAUUCGUC
Molecule: small RNA, 28 nt
Filed under: Bombyx mori (domestic silkworm)
Lineage: Eukaryota; Metazoa; Arthropoda; Insecta; Lepidoptera; Bombycidae
Description: piRNA piR-bmo-1363599
Source: RNAcentral